GAUUAACGCUAGCGGCAGGCAUAAUACAUGCAAGUUGAACGGCAGCACAGGUAGCAAUACUGGGUGGCGAGUGGCGCACGGGUGCAUAACACGUAUGCAACCUACCCUAUACAGGCGAAUAACCUUUAGAAAUGAGGGCUAAUACGCCGUAGUAUUACAGAUGGGCAUCUAUUUGUAAUUAAAGAUUUAUCGGUAUAGGAUGGGCAUGCGUCCCAUUAGUUAGUUGGUAAGGUAACGGCUUACCAAGACGAUGAUGGGUAGGGGAUCUGAGAGGACUUACCCCCACACUGGUACUGAGACACGGACCAGACUCCUACGGGAGGCAGCAGUAAGGAAUAUUGGGCAAUGGCCGCGAGGCUGACCCAGCCAUGCCGCGUGCAGGAAGACGGCCUUAUGGGUUGUAAACUGCUUUUAUACGGGAAUAAUAGAGUAUACGCGUACAUUUAUGCAAGUAUCGUAUGAAUAAGCAUCGGCUAACUCCGUG
RNAcentral lists this ribosomal RNA (484 nucleotides) under uncultured bacterium. RNAcentral's name for it is "partial 16S ribosomal RNA". It matches the Rfam family "Bacterial small subunit ribosomal RNA", at positions 28 to 507 of the family's 1533-position model. The record is from RNAcentral.